This 1229-nucleotide long non-coding RNA is filed under the name Homo sapiens (human). RNAcentral describes it as "novel transcript". Lineage: Eukaryota; Metazoa; Chordata; Mammalia; Primates; Hominidae. The record is from RNAcentral.
AGUUCCCCGGCUGGAUGCGGUGACUGGUGCCAGUGCUCAGGCGCCCGCUGCCCUUGACCUCCCGCCCCGCGAGCCCUAACUCAGCGCAGGAGGACCGGCUGCCGCCGCCGCCGCCGCCAGGUAGACCAGGCCUGGCUGGGUUAGGCCAGAAGGGUGUCCCUGGCGCAGGUCUCCCGCGGAGGGCAGAACUAGAACCAGGUUCCCGGCCGUUUCCGACCACACGGAUGGGGCGGACCCAUGAGGUAGAUUGGGAAGUGGAGCUGGCCGUGGUCAUUGGAAAGAAAGGCAAGCACAUCAAGGUGAAGUGGAAAAGAUCCACACAACUUAAAGAUCUGCUGUCGAGUGAAUGGGGAAGUGGUCCAGAGCAGCAACACCAACCAGAUGGUAUUCAAGACAGAGGACCUGAUAGCCUGGGUGUCCCAGUUUGUUACCUUUUACCCAGGGGAUGUCAUCCUGACUGGGACCCCCCCACCUCCACCCAGGUGUCGGUGUAUUCAGGAAACCUCCUGUCUUUCUCAAGGUCUCUGAAGGUCCAGACAGCACUGAUGGCGAGCUUUGGGUCCGCACACUCUGGAAAGAAGAGAGAAGUGAAGGCUCUAGGUAGGGAGAACAGAGAGCCACUGGGCACAGGCUUCUCUCCUCUUGUUUAAAGAAGCCCAGGGAGGGAUAGAGCUCUGACUGGACAGAAGACUGUACUCUGCAGCCUGCCUUCCUAGAGUUGGGUUGUCACUGUCCUGCAGGGGGCAGCAGCCACCAGCAAACACCACUGCCUGCAGGAGCCUGGGCUGACUGGUUGGGACUCACCGAAGAUCCCUUCUUCCUGGGCGGUGGCCUGCAGGAACUGGAACAGCUGCUCUGUGUAGCCCAACUCUGCAGAAGAGAGAAGACCUAGACCUGGCACCCAGCACAGACACAGCCUGCCUCGAGGACUGCAAGGGAACAAGGGCCUCACCAGUAUCGGGCAGCUGGCCCUGGCGGAGGAAGGCGGCAGCCUGUGCAAAGGCCUUGAGCAGCGGGCUGAGCAGGCGGCAGAGGAAAAGAAAGAAAUCUGGGCAGUGUGACUGCUGGCUGAGCUGGAGGGGACAGGCCGGGGUGAGUGCAGCUCCCCACCGCCUCCCUACCACCUCCCUCCAGGGGCAGCUUUUUGAAACACACCCUGAAGUACCGGCCGUCAGCCUCUCCGAAGUCAUCACUGUCACUAUCAGUAAAGUCCCCACUCGGUUUCCACA